ACAUUAGAUACCCCGGUAGUCCUAGCCGUAAACGAUACUCGCUAGGUGUCGGCCACGGUGCGACCGUUGUCGGUGCCGUAGGGAAGCCGUGAAGCGAGCCACCUGGGAAGUACGGCCGCAAGGCUGAAACUUAAAGGAAUUGGCGGGGGAGCACCACAACGGGUGGAGCUUGCGGUUUAAUUGGAUUCAACGCCGGAAAUCUUACCGGGACCGACAGCAACAUGAAGGCCAGGCUGAAGACUUUGCCGGAUUAGCUG
RNAcentral lists this ribosomal RNA (257 nucleotides) under uncultured archaeon. Its description in RNAcentral is "partial 16S ribosomal RNA". It matches the Rfam family "Archaeal small subunit ribosomal RNA", at positions 726 to 982 of the family's 1478-position model. The record is from RNAcentral.